This 870-nucleotide long non-coding RNA is filed under the name Anser brachyrhynchus (Pink-footed goose). RNAcentral describes it as "lncRNA (ENSABRG00000019186.1)". The record is from RNAcentral. Lineage: Eukaryota; Metazoa; Chordata; Aves; Anseriformes; Anatidae.
CAAGCCUCACCUGGAGCCUCCAUCCACGCCAUUGUCAAUAUGCACAGAGCGUUUUUAAAACUCAGACCAACAACCUCAUUUGCUUUCUUGGCUGUGCUGUAGGAAUGCCACACUCUAGCUCAGCUACAGGUAUACCUGACCACGGAUGGUCCUGAUCAUGGAUGAUCCAGCUUGAUCUUAGAGCUACCCUGUUGUGAUGGACCUGCCUAGCACUCACUGGACUUCAUCCUGUCCCUGACUGCAGAUUGAUUUCCCAGCUUGAUCUCAGACCUGCCUUGUCUCAGUAAACUUGCUUCAUGGUCGGGACCUAUGAGUGAACCUGAUUUAUAGGCCUGCCCUGUCCACCUCAACUGGGUGCUCUGUGAUGGGUUAUGAGUUCCAUAUGAGUUCCUUGCUACCUGUCCUUAAGGAAACAGCUGGUCCUUGCUGUUCCAUGAUGCCUGGUCUGAUGACGUUCAACAACAGUGAGCAGUCAUGGAAGUAGUCUGGUGCUCUCAAGAAUCAUUUUAUCAUUCCUUUUUCUUCUGAGCCUAAAUUAAAAUAUUUUACACAAGUUUGCAUUGGGAUUUUCUUUCUGCUGGGGCUAGCUGAUGUUGCGAAAGCAGGAAGCAUGCUUCAAGUGAGUUGUGCUGUUCUUAAUGCCUGGUAGUGGAGAGGGAAGAACACCUGAUGUGCUUUGUACGUGAUCCCUGAAGGUAUGCAGGAGUGAGGAAAAAGAUGAAAACCAGCACAGUACAGUAGCAGCUUAAAUAAGUAAAUAAGGCUGAUGCAUGUUAGCUUGUCAGCUGCUGUUCUGCUGAAACCUGACUACUGGCUAAGCACAUUUUCUUGGUAAGCACUGUGAUGUGAUAAAAUCUUCUUGAUUUGAUG